AAUUUUGGACAAUGGGGGCAACCCUGAUCCAGCCAUCCCGCGUGUAUGAUGAAGGCCUUCGGGUUGUAAAGUACUUUUGGCAGAGAAGAAAAGGUAUCUCUUAAUACGAGAUACUGCUGACGGUAUCUGCAGAAUAAGCACCGGCUAACUACGUGCCAGCAGCCGCGGUAAUACGUAGGGUGCAAGCGUUAAUCGGAAUUACUGGGCGUAAAGCGUGUGUAGGCGGUAAGGAAAGAAAGAUGUGAAAGCCAAGGGCUCAACCUUGGAACUGCAUUUUUAACUGCCGGGCUAGAGUAUGGCAGAGGGAGGUAGAAUUCCACGUGUAGCAGUGAAAUGCGUAGAUAUGUGGAGGAAUACCGUUGGCGAAGGCAGCCCCCUGGGAUAAUACUGACGCUCAGACACGAAAGCGUGGGGAGCAAACA
This 422-nucleotide ribosomal RNA is filed under the name uncultured bacterium. Its description in RNAcentral is "partial 16S ribosomal RNA". It matches the Rfam family "Bacterial small subunit ribosomal RNA", at positions 360 to 774 of the family's 1533-position model. The record is from RNAcentral.